This 807-nucleotide ribosomal RNA is filed under the name uncultured bacterium. RNAcentral's name for it is "bacterial SSU rRNA". It matches the Rfam family "Bacterial small subunit ribosomal RNA", at positions 8 to 832 of the family's 1533-position model. The record is from RNAcentral.
AGAGUUUGAUCAUGGCUCAGGACGAACGCUGGCGGCGUGCUUAACACAUGCAAGUCGAGCGGUAAGGCCCUUCGGGGUACACGAGCGGCGAACGGGUGAGUAACACGUGGGUGAUCUACCCUGUACUUCGGGAUAAGCCUGGGAAACUGGGUCUAAUACCGGAUAUGACCUCUGGGUGCAUGCCUGGGGGUGGAAAGAUUUAUCGGUACAGGAUGGGCCCGCGGCCUAUCAGCUUGUUGGUGGGGUAAUGGCCUACCAAGGCGACGACGGGUAGCCGGCCUGAGAGGGCGACCGGCCACACUGGGACUGAGACACGGCCCAGACUCCUACGGGAGGCAGCAGUGGGGAAUAUUGCACAAUGGGCGGAAGCCUGAUGCAGCGACGCCGCGUGAGGGAUGACGGCCUUCGGGUUGUAAACCUCUUUCGACAGGGACGAAGCGCAAGUGACGGUACCUGUAGAAGAAGCACCGGCCAACUACGUGCCAGCAGCCGCGGUAAUACGUAGGGUGCGAGCGUUGUCCGGAAUUACUGGGCGUAAAGAGCUUGUAGGCGGUUUGUCGCGUCGUCCGUGAAAACUUGGGGCUCAACCCCAAGCUUGCGGGCGAUACGGGCAGACUUGAGUACUGCAGGGGAGACUGGAAUUCCUGGUGUAGCGGUGAAAUGCGCAGAUAUCAGGAGGAACACCGGUGGCGAAGGCGGGUCUCUGGGCAGUAACUGACGCUGAGAAGCGAAAGCGUGGGUAGCGAACAGGAUUAGAUACCCUGGUAGUCCACGCCGUAAACGGUGGGCGCUAGGUGUGGGUUUCCU